AUGUCAGGCAACGGCACAGGCAGUAAAACAGUCUUCUCCUCAGAAACUAGAAGCAGCAAAUCAAAAGCGUCUUCAAUGUUGCCUGUUCUUCUGUUGCUUCUCUUGCCAUAUGUACUCCAGUCAGCAUCAGUGGGAGCAUCCAACAAUAGGACUGAUGUGGAUUCCUUGCUGGCGUUCAAGGCAAGCCUAAGCAAUAAGCAUGGUGUCCUAGCUGCAUGGAACACAACAACUGACUACUGCCAGUGGCCAGGCAUUGGUUGCAGCCUUAAACACAAGCACAGGGUCACAGUGCUUAACCUCUCUUCGGAGGUCCUUGGUGGCACGAUCACACCUUCCAUUGGGAACCUCUCCUUCUUGAGAAUUCUAGAUCUCAGGCGGAACAAUCUGCAAGGUGAAAUACCUUCAUCCUUUGGUCGUCUGUCUCGCCUACGAUAUCUUAAUUUAUCCAACAACUCACUUCAUGGUGAUGUAAAUGAUGAAUUGAAGAAUUGCACCAGCCUUGAAAGAAUGCACAUUGGUUCAAACCGUUUGACUGGGGAAAUCCCUACUUGGCUCGGAGACUUGCUAAGUCUCAAAGCCAUAGACCUGCGCAAUAACAACUUCACUGGAACCAUCCCGUCAUCACUUACCAAUCUCUCAACACUACAAGGAAUCUAUUUCAGCACAAACCAACUUGAGGGUGCCAUCCCUGAGGGCCUUGGGAGGCUCGGUGUCCUUGCCUACAUAGGCCUGUCAGAGAAUCACCUCUCAGGCACCAUCCCUACAGCUCUCUUCAACCUUUCUUCUCUAAUAGGCUUGGGUUUGGCACUAAAUGAACUGAGCGGUAAACUGGCCCCAAAGUUUGGGGAUAACCUCCCAAUUCUAAACCAACUAUUCAUUGACCGUAACCACUUUACAGGAAACCUUCCAGCUUCUCUUGUCAACUCAACCGAGAUAUUUGCACUAGAUGUCUCCUUCAACAACUUAAUAGGAAGAUUGCCUCCAGAGAUUGGAAUGCAAUGUCCAAACUUCCUCAGUCUCGGACCAAAUCAGUUCAUGGCGACUACUCAGCAGGACUGGGAGUUCAUGACAUUGUUGACAAACUGCACACGCCUCAGUUUUCUUAACCUCCAAGGCAACAGGCUAGGUGGCGUGCUGCCUAGCUCAGUUGCCAACCUAUCAACACAACUUCAAUCAUUAUAUGUUGAAGGCAAUGAGAUUUCUGGAGAAAUACCAUUUGGCAUAGGCAAUCUUGUUGGUCUAAAUCAAUUGGAGCUAGCUGACAACCUGUUUAUUGGUGCUUUGCCUGACACCAUAGGGAUGCUAAGUUCACUACAAUUCCUGGACUUGGGAUAUAACCUACUGACAGGGUUCAUGCCAUCCUCCCUUGGGAACUUGACACAACUACUAAAUCUAUACACAGAUAACAACACAUUUGAGGGGCCUCUUCCAGCAAGCCUCGGGAGACUACCAGAGAUAACAGCAGCAACCUUUUCAAACAAUAAGUUCACAGGCCCAUUACCUAAAGACAUCUUUAACCUAUCGUCCCUAUCAGACGCGCUGGAUUUGUCAGGCAAUUACUUUGUUGGUCCUCUUCCACCUGAAGUAGGCGGCUUGACAAAGCUUGCACAGCUAUACUUAUCACAAAACAACUUGUCAGGGGCCCUACCUAAUGAACUCAGCAAUUGCCAAAGCUUGACAGAACUAGGGUUGGACGAUAACUCCUUUGAUAGUACCAUUCCCUCAUCUAUCAGCAAAAUGAGAGGUCUAAUGUUGCUAAAUCUUACAAAGAACACACUUUCAGGUGUGAUUCCUCAAGAUGCAAGCCUUGGAAGACUACCAGAGAUAACUUCAGCAACCUUUUCAAACAAUAAGUUCACAGGCCCAUUGCCCAAAGACAUCUUUAACAUAUCAUCCCUAGCAGAUGCCCUCGAUUUGUCGAGCAAUUUCUUUCUUGGUCCUCUUCCACCUGAAGUAGGCGACUUGACAAAGCUUGCACGCCUAUACUUGUCACAUAACAACUUGUCAGGGCCCCUACCUGGUGCACUCAGCAAUUGCCAAAGCUUGACAGAACUCAGGUUGGACGAUAAUUCCUUUGAUAGUAGCAUUCCAUCGUCUAUCAACAAAAUGCGAGGUCUGAUGUUGCUAAAUCUUACAAAGAACACACUUUCAGGCUUGAUUCCAAAAGAUUUAGGGCUAAUGGGUGGCCUAGAACAGUUAUACCUUGCACACAACAACUUGUCUGGUCAUAUCCCAGAAAGCUUGGAAAACAUGGCAUCUUUGUACCAGUUAGACCUGUCCUUCAACCUUCUGGAUGGCAAAGUUCCAUUACGGGGAGUGUUCAGCAAUGCAUCUGGAUUUUCAUUUGGAGGGAAUUUGAGGCUUUGUGGUGGUAUAGUAGAGUUACGUUUGCCCGCAUGCAAAACAAAAUCUGUGGGAUGUGGCUUUAGCAAACGCCAUUUGACGAUCACCCUAGUUACCGCAAUUGCUGGAGUAAUUCUGAUUUUGAGUUUGAUGCUUGUUUUCUUGACAAUGAGAAUGAAAUCAAAAACUCAGUCUACAACCACAGGAGGAUUUCAGUUGAUGGAUGACAGUCAUCCCAGAGUUACAUAUGUUGAAUUGGUCCAAGGAACAAGUGGCUUUGCAGUAAACAAUUUGCUUGGCAGAGGAAGAUAUGGAUCGGUGUAUAAGUGUUGUCUGCUGCUAAAAAAUAUGAUGACCACAGUAGCUGUAAAGGUUUUUGAUCUUCAACAGUCUGGCUCUUUCAAAAGCUUUCAAUCUGAGUGUGAGGCACUUAGUAAGAUCCGCCAUCGCAACUUGAUUAGUGUCAUAACUUGUUGUUCAAGCUCUGACUUGAAUCAAAACGACUUCAAAGCCAUCGUUUUCGAGUUCAUGCCUAAUGGGAGCCUAGAUAGGUGGUUACACAUGGAUGUACAUGUAACACAUCUACUCCAAGGCUUGACAUUGAUGCAGAGACUAAAUAUCACGGUUGAUAUUGCUGAUGCACUAGAUUAUUUGCACAACAAUUGUGAACCACCAAUAAUUCAUUGUGACUUGAAGCCAAGCAACAUUCUUCUCAAUGAGGAUUUAGUUGCUCACGUUGGGGAUUUCGGUCUUGCAAAGAUUCUUCCUGAAUCAACAGUUGAGCAGCUGAUCAAUUCAAAGAGCUCAGUUGGAAUAAGGGGAACAAUUGGAUACGUCGCUCCAGAAUAUGGCGAAGGUGGUCAAGUUUCUUCAUGUGGAGAUGUGUACAGCUUUGGAACUGUGAUCCUCGAGUUGUUUACAGGCAUGGCACCUACUCAUGACAUGUUCAGAGAUGGGUUGACCCUGCAGAAACAUGCCGAGAAUGCAUUUCCAGGGAUGCUAAUGCAGAUUGCUAAUCCAGCCCUACUGUCCAUUGAAGAAGCCAAUGCUAAUAGUUUGCAGGAUGGAAGCAACACAAUGGAACAUGCCAUAUUCUCUGUCAUGAAGGUUGCGCUAUCAUGCAGCAGGCAUGCACCAACAGAGAGAAUGUGCAUCAGAGAUGCUGCUGCUGCGAUUCACAGGAUAAGGGAUGGCUAUGUUAAAGCAAGACAAAAUGAGGGGGUUGUUACAGCUGCAUAUACCGCAAGGCAUUUUGCUGAAACAACCAGGGCGGCCCCUUGA
This 3624-nucleotide ribosomal RNA is filed under the name Triticum aestivum (bread wheat). Its description in RNAcentral is "partial small subunit ribosomal RNA". Lineage: Eukaryota; Viridiplantae; Streptophyta; Magnoliopsida; Poales; Poaceae. The record is from RNAcentral.